This 73-nucleotide transfer RNA is filed under the name Bacteroidetes bacterium SW_10_40_5. RNAcentral's name for it is "tRNA-Trp". It matches the Rfam family "tRNA". Rfam says of the family: Transfer RNA (tRNA) molecules are approximately 80 nucleotides in length. Their secondary structure includes four short double-helical elements and three loops (D, anti-codon, and T loops). The record is from RNAcentral. Lineage: Bacteria; Pseudomonadati; Bacteroidota.
ACGGGUGUAGCUCAAUUGGGAGAGCAGCGGUCUCCAAAACCGCUGGUUGGGAGUUCGAGCCUCUCCACCCGUG